GCAUUGUCACGGAUGACACGGAACACAUCCGUUGUCACAGAUGACACGGAACACAUCCUGUAAAUUCGGAUACAAGAAGACAUUUUUCCCCUUUCUCUUUCUGUAAAAAAGGACAGAUGCCUGUCCACUCUGAAAAGCCACACAGCUUUCAGGGAGAGGAGGCUGACAUUCCUCCGACCUUCUUCCGUCAGUUUUCUGCACUGAGAGGGAGGCAUGUGAUGAACUCCACCUCCGACCCUCCCUCGCCUGGCUGCCAGCGAGACCGUCAGCUCUUAAGAGACUCUGGAAGCUCCGUUUGGCCCCAGAUGGGUUUUUUCUCCUCUGCUGGGGAUGAAACAGCCUCUCUGGCCCACCACCGAAAGUGAGAUAAAUGACCUGGAGGUGGUGCGCUCCAUGGUUUCGAUACCCAUUUUGUAGCCAAAUGGGCCUCGCUCUAAUGGAACGGGCCUAUGUCCUCGUAUUGUUGCAAUGCUAAUGAGCCAAUGCAAGACAAAAAGGAGCUCAUUUUCUGGGCCAGGCAUAGGAGAAAAGCCGGUUUCCUCUUUCCCGAUCUUCUCUCGCCUACUUUGUGGUGCUAAUAGAGACCACCAACAGAUCGAAAGCGUUCAAGUCCACUCGUCAACAGCCAUUCUGCAUUAAGAAGCAAUGCUGGCACUUCAUUCUCCAGAAGGAUCUCAGCUGUGAGUGCUUGAAAGCUGCCCUUUUUUCUCUUUAAAUGGACUUGCUCUCCUUUCCAGGAACCACCAACUCUCAAAGCAAAAGCGAAGAGAAGGACCUAGUUUGAAAGCCAAACUUCACCCCUUCACCCCUCUUCUCUGGUUCUGGAGGGAAGAAGAUGCAGUCACAAUGCCUAAUCUAUUCUGUUUGAUACCAGAAAGCUACUUCUUGAAGCAGGCAGAUGUUUCUGGCGGUGGAAGACACUUUUUGUUCAUGCAGGCGCUGCCAGGGUGGAAUUUGUUUGAUGGCAUCCAGGAUCUAGUAAGGAAGUGUGGGGUGAACAUUUUGAUGGUAGGUUCUCUCUCUUUUUGGGAGGGGAAAAAUAACUAUGGGCUUAAGUAGUUCAUAAUGGAAGGUGGUGGCGCUGUGGGCUAAACCACAGAAGCCUUUGUGUGCUGCAGGGUCAGAAGACCACGCAGUCGUAAGAUCGA
RNAcentral lists this long non-coding RNA (1148 nucleotides) under Pogona vitticeps (central bearded dragon). RNAcentral describes it as "lncRNA (ENSPVIG00000006139.1)". The record is from RNAcentral. Lineage: Eukaryota; Metazoa; Chordata; Lepidosauria; Squamata; Agamidae.